AGAAACUUAGGAUAACCAUUAAACCGAGGGCCUUCAAAGCCUUAAGCAAGAGUUAACCCUCUUAGUUUCUG
RNAcentral lists this transfer RNA (71 nucleotides) under Butorides striata (green-backed heron). RNAcentral describes it as "tRNA-Trp". It matches the Rfam family "tRNA". From Rfam's summary of the family: Transfer RNA (tRNA) molecules are approximately 80 nucleotides in length. Their secondary structure includes four short double-helical elements and three loops (D, anti-codon, and T loops). Lineage: Eukaryota; Metazoa; Chordata; Aves; Pelecaniformes; Ardeidae. The record is from RNAcentral.